RNAcentral lists this ribosomal RNA (737 nucleotides) under uncultured eukaryote. RNAcentral's name for it is "SSU rRNA". It matches the Rfam family "Eukaryotic small subunit ribosomal RNA", at positions 151 to 899 of the family's 1831-position model. The record is from RNAcentral.
GGUAAUUCUAGAGCUAAUACAUGCUGAAAACCCCAACUUCGGGAGGGGUGUAUUUAUUAGAUAAAAAACCAACGCCCUUCGGGGCUUCUUGGUGAUUCAUGAUAACUUUACGGAUCGCAUGGCCUUGCGCCGGCGACGGUUCAUUCAAAUUUCUGCCCUAUCAACUUUCGAUGGUAAGGUAUUGGCUUACCAUGGUUUCAACGGGUAACGGGGAAUUAGGGUUCGAUUCCGGAGAGGGAGCCCGAGAAACGGCUACCACAUCCAAGGAAGGCAGCAGGCGCGCAAAUUACCCAAUCCCGAUACGGGGAGGUAGUGACAAUAAAUACUGAUACAGGGCUCUUUUGGGUCUUGUAAUUGGAAUGAGUACAAUUUAAACCUCUUAACGAGGAACAAUUGGAGGGCAAGUCUGGUGCCAGCAGCCGCGGUAAUUCCAGCUCCAAUAGCGUAUAUUAAAGUUGUUGCAGUUAAAAAGCUCGUAGUUGAACCUUGGGUCUGGCUGGCAGGUCCGCCUCACCGCGUGUACUUGUCCGGCCGGGCCUUCCUUCUGGAGAACCUCAUGCCCUUCACUGGGCGUGUUGGGGACCAGGACUUUUACUUUGAAAAAAUUAGAGUGUUCAAAGCAGGCCUUUGCUCGAAUACGUUAGCAUGGAAUAAUAGAAUAGGACGUGCGGUCCUAUUUUGUUGGUUUCUAGGACCGCCGUAAUGAUUAAUAGGGACAGUCGGGGGCAUCAGUAUUC